Molecule: long non-coding RNA, 3710 nt
Filed under: Citrus sinensis (sweet orange)
Lineage: Eukaryota; Viridiplantae; Streptophyta; Magnoliopsida; Sapindales; Rutaceae
Description: long non-coding RNA (CSIN_LNC002998)
Source: RNAcentral
ACCAUCUCAUUUUCAAAACUACAAUAGAACAGCGCAAUGAUUUACAAGAUAAUACCAGAAAGCAAUCUCGAUGCAACAAUCUAAAAUCCACACACCGAAAUUCAACUCCAAAUUCAUCUUCUAAAAUUCAUUCAUGCGAUUAAGUUUGGGCACGGAUAGGGUUGGGUUGGGCUGAUAAUCAACUCGAUCCAAUUCGCUUAUAAAACGGGUUAAAAAAAUUCAACUCAACCCAACCUAUUAUAUUUUUCAACCCAACCUGUAGAAUUGCGCAUUGAGUCGGGUUGGGUUGAUUGGAUUGGACUUUUAAAAAAGUCUAUUUUUAUAGUGUGAACAAAAAUAAACUAAUUAAAUGAAAAAAAUUUAAAAACAUAAAUACUAAAAUCCUUAUAACAAAUUCAACAUUUCAAAGUUUAAGAAUCAAAUUAGGGAAAUUAAUAUUACACCACCGCUCUUUUAUCUUAUGUUCAACCACCACAAAAUUUUAACAUGUUCUCUGCACCACUUUUCUUUUUAAAUUUUUAUCAACUAGUCACUUUUGAACUAACACCGUUAAAUAAUUUAAAUGAAAUGAUAAUUUUAUCCCUAAAUAAAUUAAAAGACCAUUUUAUUUUAUAAAAACUUUAAAAAAUAAGAAAAUUAUAAUUAUAAAAAUACUCUUAAAUUUAAUAAAAAUAAAUCCCAAACAGAGGUGCUCAUUUGAUUUUUAUUUAAUUUAGAUUUUACAAAAUUUUAAUAAUUAUUUUUAUUAAAACUUUUUAAUUUUGCAAAAUUUUAAUAAAAAUGACUGAAUUUAUUUAUUAAAAAUUAUAAUUUUUCAAAAUUUUAUUAAAAUAACUAAAUUUAUUUAUUAAAAAAAUCCCAAAAUUUUAAUAAUUCAGGGAUUUUUAUUAAAUCCCAAAAUUUUGCAAUUAUUUUUAUAAGAGAAACUAUCAUUCGUAUACCCUAUAGUUGCUCUAUUAUAAACAAUACUACAACACUUUGAGGGUGUAUUAAUCAUUCACCCUAAGUUGACAAAAUGUAUCUGUCGUCCACCAAAUUGUUACUUGCCGUUUAAAUAGGAUGAUGCCAAUAGGGUAAUUUGGUCUUUUCAUAUGAUACAAGUGAUAAUUUAAGGGUAUAAAAGUGAUAAUUUUCCUUUACUUUAAUUUAAGUUUCAAGGGUAAAAUCGUCAAUUCGCUAUAAUUCCGUUAACUUUCAAACAACAACUAACGGUUUGAUGGUCGGCAGAUAGCUUUUGUCAAUUUAGGGUGGACGAUUGAUACACCCUCAAAGUAUUGUAAUAUUUUUUAUAACAGAGCAACUAUAGGGUAUAUAGUUGAUAAUUUUCCUUUUUAUAAUUAUAAUUUUUAUUUAGAUUUUUAUUAACAAUAAAAAUUCUAAUUUUGGUAUUUAUUUUUAUUAAACUUAGGGGUAUUUUUAUAAUUAUAAUUUUUUUAUUUUUCAAAACGUUUAUAAGAUAAAAUAUCUUUUAAUUUAUUUAGGGUAAAAUUGUCAUUUCAUUUAAAUUAUUUAUCGGUGUUAGUUAAAAAAUAGCUAAUCAAUACAAAUUUAAAAAGAAAGAUGGUGUAAAAAACAUGUUAGAAUUUUGUGGUGGUUGGAUAAACAUAAAGCAAAAGAGAGGUGGUGUAAUGAUAAUUUCCCAUCAAAUUAUUAGUAGUACAUAACUAAUGAAAAAAAUCCAUAAAUUUAAAGUCUUUUUUAAUACAAAACAUCAAAGUCUAAGAAGUGAGACCAGUGAAUAAGAGAAAAAACGAACAUGACUUGUUAAUACUAAAAAUAUUACUGCAGAACAAUGCUCAGCAGAUAUUUGUCAAAAAACCUUUUCCCAAAGAUAGUAAUAAUUAUUAUUAUUAUAUUCAUGUUAAUCCGAUUGAGCUUGACACCAUCAUAACAACCAAAAAAUUGACCAACUUUUAUCAAUAAAAAAAUAUUAUAAAGCACCAAAUCAAAUGGACUAAACCUUUUAAUAAUAAAAAAAUUUGAUCAACUUCUUUCAAAACAAUAUUAAAUUAGUAAAUUAGAAAGAAGAAAAAACUUGUGCAUGAGACAAUGUGCAGUUGGGCAGCUUUUCAAGAAAGCUUGUGAGUUGUGAUGUUGUUGUGUUCUAUGCACAAGCAGAUGAGCAACUGCUUUUUAAACAAGAGAAUUUGAGUUUAGGGUUCUAUAAUUAAGAAAGUUGCUAAGAUGCAUUUUAUAUUUAUUUUUUUAAUUUUUAAUUUUUUAUAUAUACGGGUUGACAGGUUGGGUUGGGUUAAAAUUUUCAACCCGACACAACCCACAAUGUUUGGGGGUUUGGAAUUUAAUAACUCAACCCAACCCAUAUAUUUUAUCAACCCAACCCAACCCAACCCAACCUACAAAAAAAAUCAUACAGGUCGGGUCGGUUUCACGGUUGGGCAGGUUGGUGCCCACCCCUACAUGCAAUACCUAAUUUUUACUCUCAUUUCGUACAGAAUCAUAAUAGCAUUAAAUUACCCAUUGGCGCGGCUAAGUAUCGAUGGGUGACGAUGAAUGUUGGGGUUGAUAGGCUAUUAGUAGUAACGAAUUGUGGCGACCGAUGGUUGUUAGGGUUUUCAUAUUUCUUUUAUCCAUUAUGGGAAAUGACUGUAGGGGUGGGCAAAAUAUCUGACCCAACUCGAUUAAAAAAAUGUCGGGUUUUGAUCGAAUCAAGUUGUGAAUAAAACCCGAUUAGAUGCAUUUGUGUUAACCCGAUGGGAUCAUGAUCGAAUCAAGUUCACCCGAUCGGAACCUGAUUCAAUCCGAAAACCCGAUCUGGUUGACACAAAAUUAAAAAAAAAAAAUCAGAAAUAACAAAAUUAAAAAACCAAAACUAAUUGCUAAACAAAUAAACUCCAAAUCCUAAACACACACACACACGAUCUACACACAGUCAUGCACAACCAUUACACGAACAAACACCGAAACACAGUCACAAAAACAGUCAAACACACACAAAGUUUAUGCCCACACCCACCCACAGGCCACAACCUCCCUCUCUCGCAUCCCAUUAUCAACGGCAAUAAGUGACACUCACGCAGCCCACACCCACAGCCAAACAAACGAAACAAAAUCAUGAUUCACAAACAGUCAAACACACAAACAAAGUUCACAGAGCAAGCUGGAUCCAGCCACCAAAUGCAGUAACCACGGAGAGUCAACGCCAACCGAAGCUACUCUGCGAGGAUCAUGACCCGAUCUAUUGAUCUACUGCUACCAAGUAACAGAUCUGCUGCGCCACCUCCAUGCCUCCAAUCCUCCACUAUCACUGGAUCUAAUCCAAGCUCCAUUCGACCCGGCAAGCUCCAUCUAAUCCAGGCUUCAUUUGGCUAUUGACUUUGAGUUUUGGAAGCUUUGGGUUGUUACUAUAACUUGGUAGAGAUGGUAUAUAUACUUUAUAUAUUAUGUGUAUAAGUGAACAACCAAAUGUGUACAUCAUGUGUGUGUAAAUACUUUAUAUCCAAUCCAAUCCGAAUUUAAUUUGAACCUAUAACCCGAUCUGAUCCAAUCCAAAUUAUAUGAGUUUGGAUGAAUUUUUAUCUAAUCCGACCACCUAAAACUUGAUCGAGUUAAUUCGAACCCAACCCGAAUAUGAUUUUGCCCAACCCUAGAAAUGAGGAUCGACGAAAAUUAAAUAUUAUAAUAUUAGAUAAUAUUUUAAUAUUUUUUAAUAUUUAUUUUAGUUUAGGUUUGGGCCCAGGAUAUCCCUAAAC